CAUGCAAGUCGAGCGGUAGCACAGGGGAGCUUGCUCCCUGGGUGACGAGCGGCGGACGGGUGAGUAAUGUCUGGGAAACUGCCUGAUGGAGGGGGAUAACUACUGGAAACGGUAGCUAAUACCGCAUAACGUCGCAAGACCAAAGAGGGGGACCUUCGGGCCUCUUGCCAUCAGAUGUGCCCAGAUGGGAUUAGCUAGUAGGUGGGGUAAUGGCUCACCUAGGCGACGAUCCCUAGCUGGUCUGAGAGGAUGACCAGCCACACUGGAACUGAGACACGGUCCAGACUCCUACGGGAGGCAGCAGUGGGGAAUAUUGCACAAUGGGCGCAAGCCUGAUGCAGCCAUGCCGCGUGUGUGAAGAAGGCCUUCGGGUUGUAAAGCACUUUCAGCGAGGAGGAAGGUGGUGAACUUAAUACGUUCAUCAAUUGACGUUACUCGCAGAAGAAGCACCGGCUAACUCCGUGCCAGCAGCCGCGGUAAUACGGAGGGUGCAAGCGUUAAUCGGAAUUACUGGGCGUAAAGCGCACGCAGGCGGUUUGUUAAGUCAGAUGUGAAAUCCC
Molecule: ribosomal RNA, 560 nt
Filed under: Serratia sp. A37tronco1
Lineage: Bacteria; Pseudomonadati; Pseudomonadota; Gammaproteobacteria; Enterobacterales; Yersiniaceae
Description: bacterial SSU rRNA
Rfam family: Bacterial small subunit ribosomal RNA
Source: RNAcentral